AACCAUUUCAGCCCAUGUGAGGAGAAAAUAAAGGGAGGAAACAUCAGUAUUCAAGACCCUGAUUCGGAGAAUUUCAAAUGUAAGUAAAGGAUGGUGGGGAAGCCAGCUUGCUUCAGCUAAAAGUAUGUCAGCAGUUCAUUCCUGAAUCCCAUUAUUCUGAGAUUCAUACUUUACACAUAAAUAUCAUUCACCCUGGGCUACAAUAUGGAAUACCAAGUCUUGGCCCAUUAGCGGUUUCCUUAAGCAGGUUCUCAUAACUCUUUCCAACUAUACAAAUAUAAGAAAAAUACAAGAAAAAUGUAGCCCUGGUAAAAGUGCAUUUUAUAUUCACAUGCUUCUUAUGAAAAUAUGCCUGUAAAUGGUCUGCAGUAUUUUAGCUGAAUCAGGGGAAAUGACCUAUAAUCUAAGUAUAAUUUUGAGCUGCUUGUGGUGGUUGUGAAUGUUUUGUUCUGUUAUGUGUCCAUUAAGGCUGAGCUGGAUAUGAAAUUGUUGUGUGUGUGUGACCAACACAGAAUAUCACAUCAUUUCCUGCAAGAAACCAUAUUGGCUGCAUAAUAUCACAUGAAGGGCCAUCUCUACCAUUCAGCUGAAAAUAAUGACCACAAAAUGUUGCCACAGUCCUAGUAUUGAUGUGUAACUGCCAACUGUGCUGGUCACACAGAAGGGUAAAAAGUAUCACCAGCAAAGCAAAUUGAUAUGAUAUUUAUUCUGCGUCCGUUGAUUAAGAUCCAGACCACACUAACUGCUCUGAAACCAGAAUGACCGUUAGGGUUUGAUUCAGCAGCUGCUUGCCAGUUACACCAUUUGUUGCUCAAUAGGAAAGUAGUUGAAUGGACAAGACUGGAUAGCUCAGAAUUAUAGUUCAAUUACAGUGGUACCUCGGGUUACAUACACGUCAGGUUACAUACGCUUCAGGUUACAGACUCCGCUAACCCAGAAAUAUUACCUCGGGUUAAGAACUUUGUUUCAGGAUGAGAACAGAAAUUGUGCUCCAGCAGCAGCUGGAGGCCCCAUUAGCUAAAGUGGUGCUUCAGGUUAAGAACAGUUUCAGGUUAAGAAUGGACCUCUGGAACGAAUUAAGUACUUAACCCGAGGUACCACUGUAUAGAUCACUUUGUUCCCCAUGUCAGAGAGGCAGCAGCAGAGCCUUUGCCCGUGCUGCGCAGGGCGGGCGCGCUCCCGAGGGGCACAGAGGGUGCCCUCGCAGGUGCGGGAUAGCCGCCCGGGUGCACGGAGCGGCACGUGUGCCCUGCAAUCAGGGGCGGAGCGAGCUGCCCAUGGGGGCAGAGCGAGCUACCGAUGGCGGACAUUCGGCGCACCGCCCGCCCACGACUCCCAAGCCUUCCCCACCUGUCAAAACAAAGGGAGAAGGGGGGAAUGCCAUCGGCAAAGUGGCGCAGCUCCCCCAACGGCUCAGGGUAGGCUUGGGAGUCGCGGGUGGGAGGCGUGCCAAAUGUCACCCCCCCCUCCCCGCGAAGACACCCGGGGCGGUCCACCCCUUCUUCCACCCCGUAGAGAGAACGAAACAUUCUUCUUGCCUCUCCAUCAUAUAUGCAAGAUGGAAUGUUGUUUAGUCAUUUAGUCGUGUCCAACUCUUCGUGACCCCAUAGACCAGAGCACGCCAGGCACUCCUGUCUUUCACUGCCUCCCGCAGUUUGGUCAAACUCAUGCUGGUAGCUUCAAGAACACUGUCCAACCAUCUCGUCCUCUGUCGUCCCCUUCUCCUUGUGCCCUCAAUCUUUCCCAACAUCAGGGUCUUUUCCAGGGAGUCUUCUCUUCUAAUGAGGUGGCCAAAAUGGAAUAGUCCCCUUUAAAGUCUGUAAGAUUGCAAUCACAUACCAGCCAGUAUUGGAAAAAUGCAGAAGACAGAAGCACCACUUCCUACCUGCCAUGACCCCACUUUGCACAAGGCCCUUCCUCUGGACAAGGGCUCCUCUCCCUUGGACCACCUACAGUGGAGCUUUUAAAAAACACAACCUAAUUUGUAUUUCAUUGUAAAAGGUUAACUUAAUCCAUCACAAGUGAACUUCUUAUUGGCCUCUUGGGACGUCUGUUGUUCAAAUUAUUUCCUUCGUGAAUAAAUCGUUCAUUAACUUUGGCCUCAAUUUCUAUUUUUGGAUAGCUCUUGAUAUUUUCAAAGGGAUUAAAGGCUACUUGUGAAUCAUUCAAUGUAAGUCCUGCAUGAGAAUCUCUCGUUAAUUGUGCUUGAUUGGCCAUCAAGCAGCGGUUAUCAAGUUCUGUACACCUUCGCCCAUCUGUUGAUUAUAACUAAGGAUGGGCAAAUCUGUCAAUUUUGGUUUCUCUCAGUUUCUCAUUUCUCCAACCCUAAAUUAAUUACCCAACAUUUUUGCAUCAGUUAGCUAUUUUUUAAAAGAAGUCCUUAUAAAAAAUUCAUCAGCAUUGUAGUAUUAUGAAUUUCCCCUAGUUUGCACAUUUUUUGUAAAGCAAUUUCCCCUAAUAUGCAUGUCAUUUUCACUGAUAUACGAAGUUUUAUGCCCACUUCAUCCCAGUAUAUGCAUUUUUUAAUAUAUUACUUGGCUGGAGAAUUGCAGAAUUCGGGGAGGUGCAAAUUUCAAAAGACAACUGAGUUUCAGUUCUCACCUUUGUCAUUAUAUGGGAACAGAAUCAGAUUUCUCCCCCAUUCCUAUUUAUGAAUAAUGGUUAAAACACCAGAAUUCAGAAAAUGUAUGAGAAUUAGCAACAGGCAGGCUGGGGGUCAAUACUCCAUGGGAUUUCCAUCUGGGUUCAAUAAUAAGCCUUCAUCCCAAUUCUCCCAGCGCUUAACACACCUCAGGCACCUUGUCUUGUAACAGGUGAGGUAAAAGAGGAGGAAAUCUAUAAGUUCUUCCUCUCCAGUAUGACUAGUAACAGAAGUCUUGGCAAAUCACCCCCUCCUUAUGAUAGGCUUCAAGGACACAGUCCAUCAUAAAGGCAAGUAGCUUGUUAAUCCCUCCCCUUACAGUGAUACAGGCUAUGUCAGAGUCCAUUUCUUAUGUAUCUCAACUUCUCAUUCCCAUCUGCCUGUGCUUUGGUGCCUACAGAGGACUAGUCAGCUGCUUUUGUACUUGAUGAUGGUUCUAUCAAAGCUUCUGUUGCGCACCUGGGAAGAGCAUUAGACCACUUUUUGCUUGAACUGCAGCUGGUUCGGACUGAGUCAGAGGGGAGAGCAAAAGGGUUGGUUCUAAUUUCAAAAUGUUGACCAAGUAGGAUACAGGUAGAAGUGGGCAGACCCCGUUAUUCUUAAGCAGUGUUGAGGAGCCCAUAGCAAGAAUCCCACAAGGACAUCACAAUUAUUUCCCACUCCUUUCGUUAUUAUUAUAUCAACCAACCUUCCAUGUUCAGAUUGAGAGAUUUCUCAAGUGUAUACAUCCUUUACUUAUAAUGUGGCUCCUCCUCCCUUCCUGCUUCACCUCUUGCUUUUGAGUAAGUUAAACCCUUCCGUUCCUAUAUUCCAAUCAUGAACCUCGCCCCACCAGGUUUUGGUAAUUCCAUUAAAUCUUAUUGGCCUUCCUUUAAUAUUGUAAAUUCAGUAUGCUUAUUUCCCAUAAUCCAUUGUUCUUAUUUCCCAUAAUCCAUUAUGCUUAUUUCCCAUAAUCCAUAUACAGUGGUACCUCAGUUUUCGAACGUAAUCCAUUCCGGAAAACCGUUCGAGUUCCGAGACAUUCAAAAACCAAAAACUCAAUACAGAAGCCUCAAUGCGGAAAACUCAAUACGGAAGCCACAUGGCAUGUUUGACUUCCGAAAAGUGUUCAAAAACCGAAGCAUUUACUUCCAGGUUUACGGCAUUCGAAAACCGAAACGUUCAUCAAUGGAGACAUUUGAAAACCGAGGUACCACUGUAUUUGCAUAGGGACACUGUAAACCAUUGCACUCUUCCUGUUUUUAAUUGCAUAUCAGUACAUACCCAGGUCUACAUCUCAGUUUGCUGUCCCCACACAAGAUAUGGUGUUGUCGUCCAGGAUCCCACUGCUCUCCCUUGUAGGGCAUAGUUUAAAGCCCCCCUGAUGAAACUCCUGCCAAACACUAUUUUCCAUGUCCUCAUGAGGCGACACCCAUCUCUCACCAGAGGUCCUUCAUCACUGACCAUGAUCCAAGAAUCCAAACUUUUUCUGAUGACAAUACGGUCAGUCACUAACUUCCAACUUUCUUGCCUCUCUUCCUAGGCCACGACUUUCAAUUGGAAGCAGUGAUGAAAACACCACAUGAGUGCCAAGGUCUGUCACCUUCAUUGUCUCUUGAAAUACGUUCAGAAACUGGGUUUGGCAGUAUCAUUUGUGGAACAGCAGGAAAGGCUUGUGGACAGUGGUCUGGAUGAGUCUUGGCAAGCAUUUGAUCAUAUCCUGGGUACACUCACUAAGGAGACAAUACACUUCCACUGGAAAACUAUCAGGAGAGCACACAGUUGCCUCUGUUCCUCUUAAUUUAGAAUCACCAAUUACCACCAAAUGUCUCCUCAACAGUUAAGUAUGCAAUAGCCGUUAAUAGAACCUAUAGGUACGGUAUUUCCAACUGAUGGGGGUCAUGCCUUUUAUUUUGCCGGACAAUUCCAAGCCAUCUUUAAUUGCAAUUAAGUGAAAACAACAACAAUAUCAUCAACAGCAGCAACCAAGAAAAAGCUAAGCUACAAAAUGAGCUGUAGCCUAAGC
Non-coding RNA from Podarcis lilfordi (Lilford's wall lizard), 4646 nucleotides. The record is from the annotation of a GenBank genome assembly. NCBI's taxonomy places the organism in Eukaryota, Metazoa, Chordata, Lepidosauria, Squamata, Lacertidae.